GUUGGCAGUUGACCAGUGGGU
Molecule: unclassified non-coding RNA, 21 nt
Filed under: Chlamydomonas reinhardtii
Lineage: Eukaryota; Viridiplantae; Chlorophyta; Chlorophyceae; Chlamydomonadales; Chlamydomonadaceae
Description: small RNA Cre_2096
Source: RNAcentral